AGGUUAAGCUAAUAAGAGCACACGGAGGAUGCCUAGGCGCCAGGAGCCGACGAAGGACGUGGCGAACAACGAAACUGCCUCGGGGAGCUGUAAGC
Molecule: ribosomal RNA, 95 nt
Filed under: Paenibacillus agri
Lineage: Bacteria; Bacillati; Bacillota; Bacilli; Caryophanales; Paenibacillaceae
Description: Paenibacillus sp. JW14 partial 23S ribosomal RNA
Rfam family: Bacterial large subunit ribosomal RNA
Source: RNAcentral